Molecule: ribosomal RNA, 580 nt
Filed under: uncultured organism
Description: SSU rRNA
Rfam family: Eukaryotic small subunit ribosomal RNA
Source: RNAcentral
CAGCUCCAAUAGCGUAUAUUAAAGUUGUUGCGGUUAAAAAGCUCGUAGUUGGAUUUCUGUUGAGGAUGGCCGGUCCGCACUUUGUGCGUGUAUCUGGUUCAGCCUUGGCAUCCUCUUGGGGAACGUUUCUGUGUUUUAUUACAUGGGGCGGUAUUCAAGACUUUUACUUUGAGGAAAUUAGAGUGUUCACGGCAGGCAUUCGCCUUGAAUACAUUAGCAUGGAAUAAUAAUAUAGGACCUUGGUACUAUUUUGUUGGUUUCUAGAACUAAGGUAAUGAUUAAUAGGGAUAAUUGGGGGCAUUCGUAUUAACGCGUCAGAGGUGGAAUUCUUGGAUUGCGUUACGACGAACUACUGCGAAAGCAUUUGCCAAGGAUGUUUUCAUUGAUCAAGAACGAAAGUUAGGGGAUCGAAGACGAUUAGAUACCGUCGUAGUCUUAACCAUAAACUAUGCCAACUAGAGAUUGGAGGUCGUUCUUUUUAUGACUCCUUCAGCACCUUAUGAGAAAUCAAAGUCUUUGGGUUCCGGGGGAGUAUGGUCGCAAGGCUGAAACUUAAAGGAAUUGACGGAAGGGCACCACC